RNAcentral lists this long non-coding RNA (546 nucleotides) under Equus caballus (horse). Its description in RNAcentral is "lncRNA (ENSECAG00000035114.3)". Lineage: Eukaryota; Metazoa; Chordata; Mammalia; Perissodactyla; Equidae. The record is from RNAcentral.
CAGAGGGAGACUGCAGACUCAGCGGAUCCCAGCAGGGCUGGAGGUGAUAGGAGAGGCCCUGCAGUAGUUGCCGGCACAAUCACCUGGAAGAUCUCCAGAGCCAGGAGCCACCUGCUGCAGGAAGUGGCUGCUGAGAGCCUCUCUGAGAAGACUGCAGCAGCGACCACCACCGGAAGCUUCUCGUAACUGGUGCUGUCCCUGCAGCAGGAGGUCUGGGAGAUUUCACUGCUUGCUGUCCUAGCCCCUUUGCAAUUCCAAAGUUUACCAAUUUUGACUUCUCAAGAGCGAAAGCACGCAGCAAAUGAAGUCUGACAUCUAUGAAACUUCCCAGACACGUAAUUCAGAGUAUGAGGUGUGAAUUUCACUACAGCAAAAUGAAGCACAAGACAAAGGAGUCCUUAAGAACCUCAGAUGAUGCCACUGGAGCCGAUUUCAAUAUUUACCCCUGACUGGAGUCUGAAUACAAGCUCAGUGAGAGAAGGACGUUUUGUUUGUUUAUUCAACACUAUCUAUGGUUGUAAGCCACCUGGAGGAAGUGGUCUUCGG